RNAcentral lists this long non-coding RNA (373 nucleotides) under Homo sapiens (human). RNAcentral describes it as "HSALNT0120853". The record is from RNAcentral. Lineage: Eukaryota; Metazoa; Chordata; Mammalia; Primates; Hominidae.
CAGCUUCAGGGCACACCUGAAGCCUUCCCUUUUGCCACCAUAUGCUUUCCAACUCCUCUGCCUUUGUGCUGGUGGCUGACUCUUUUGCUAUAGCAAGCUCUGAAGACCUAUAGAAGGAGGUCCUUUCUACACUGGAUGGUGAUUCUAUUACCAGCAAAGUGUGUAUCACAGUCACCCAGGAGCUUGCUGAAACACACAAUCUUGGGUCCUUCCUCUCGACUUUCUGGUAAGUCUGACAAGCAACCUGAGAGUUGCAUUUCUUCUUUUUUAUUUUUUAUUUGUUUUUUGAUACAGGGUCUCACUGUCUUGUCCAGGUUGGAGUGCAGUGAUGCAGUCACAGCUUACUGCAGCCUCAACCUCCUGUGCUUAAGCA